GACGAACGCUGGCGGCGUGCCUAAUACAUGCAAGUAGAACGCCGUUGCGAACGGGUGAGUAUCGCGUAUGUAACUUGCUUAUUGCGGGGGAUAACCUUUUGAAACGAUUGCUAAAUCCCCAUUCUUUGGGCUAGAUCUGCGUUGUAUUAGCUAGUUGGUGGGGUAAAGGCUCACCAAGGCGCCGAUACAUAGCCGACCUGAGAGGGUGACCGGCCACACUGGGACUGAGACACGGCCCAGACUCCUACGGGAGGCAGCAGUAGGGAAUAUUCGGCAAUGGGCGGAAGGCUGAUCGAGCAACGCCGCGUGAGUGAAGAAGGCUUUCGGAUUGUAAAGCUCUGUUGUUAGAGAAGCGGUAACGGAAUAGAAAGCGACGGCUAACUACGUGCCAGCCGCCGCGGUAAUUC
This 407-nucleotide ribosomal RNA is filed under the name uncultured bacterium. Its description in RNAcentral is "partial 16S ribosomal RNA". It matches the Rfam family "Bacterial small subunit ribosomal RNA", at positions 28 to 526 of the family's 1533-position model. The record is from RNAcentral.